RNAcentral lists this transfer RNA (64 nucleotides) under Fukomys damarensis (Damara mole-rat). It matches the Rfam family "tRNA". Rfam says of the family: Transfer RNA (tRNA) molecules are approximately 80 nucleotides in length. Their secondary structure includes four short double-helical elements and three loops (D, anti-codon, and T loops). Lineage: Eukaryota; Metazoa; Chordata; Mammalia; Rodentia; Bathyergidae. The record is from Rfam by way of RNAcentral.
GCUGUAGCUCAGUGAUAGAGCACUUGCCUGGCAUGCAAGAGAUCCUGGCUUCCAUCCCUGCAGC